Long non-coding RNA from Oreochromis aureus, 508 nucleotides. NCBI's taxonomy places the organism in Eukaryota, Metazoa, Chordata, Actinopteri, Cichliformes, Cichlidae. The record is from Ensembl.
CUUGUUUCACAAUGGUAAUCUCGACCAUGGACCUGUUAAUGAAGUGGUAUAAAGCUUCCAUUGUGAACAUUAGUGUGCUGAAGACCAGGGAAAUGGCUGUCUACUCUACUACUAUUGGAAAUCAGUGACCAAAAAACAGAAAGUGAAAUCAGUGAAAGGGUUUUGUAGGCUUCCUGGAAACUCCUGAGACCAUUUCCACUGGUUGGUUAAAGAGAGCCAAAUACACGACAAAGAAACCCAGGAUCAAAACAUUCAAGCAAGGAUAAGGAAACAAGCAGAAACAAUAACAGCGAGUGUGGUGAUUUAUGCUGUGGGGACACCCCAACUCCCAUCGGUCACCUGAAUCACCAGAAUCCAAAUUCACAACCCAGGGGGUAAUAGGAAUCAACAUGAGCUUAGAAAACCCAAGUGGCUACAACUGACAGGGAAGACCAAGCCACAGUGGACACCAGCCAGCCCAGCCAAGGUGCCUGCACAACCCCCCCACCAUUCCACGACAGACCACCCC